This 372-nucleotide ribosomal RNA is filed under the name uncultured organism. RNAcentral's name for it is "bacterial SSU rRNA". It matches the Rfam family "Bacterial small subunit ribosomal RNA", at positions 526 to 896 of the family's 1533-position model. The record is from RNAcentral.
CGAAGGGUGCAAGCGUUACUCGGAAUUGCUGGGCGUAAAGCGUGCGUAGGUGGUUCGUUAAGUCUGUCGUGAAAUCCCCGGGCUCAACCUGGGAAUGGCGAUGGAUACUGGCGAGCUAGAGUGAGGUAGAGGAGAGUGGAAUUCCCGGUGUAGCAGUGAAAUGCGUAGAGAUCGGGAGGAACAUCAGUUGCGAAGGCGGCUCUCUGGACCAUCACUGACACUGAGGCACGAAAGCGUGGGGAGCAAACAGGAUUAGAUACCCUGGUAGUCCACGCCCUAAACGAUGUCAACUAGGUGUUGGGUGGGUAAAACCAUUUAGUACCGGAGCUAACGCGUGAAGUUGACCGCCUGGGGAGUACGGCCGCAAGGUUA